GGGGCCGUAGCUCAGUUGGGAGAGCGCUUGAAUGGCAUUCAAGAGGUCAGGGGUUCGACUCCCCUUGGCUCCACCA
This 76-nucleotide transfer RNA is filed under the name Hyphomonadaceae bacterium. RNAcentral's name for it is "tRNA-Ala". It matches the Rfam family "tRNA". Rfam says of the family: Transfer RNA (tRNA) molecules are approximately 80 nucleotides in length. Their secondary structure includes four short double-helical elements and three loops (D, anti-codon, and T loops). Further hydrogen bonds mediate the characteristic L-shaped molecular structure. tRNAs have two regions of fundamental functional importance: the anti-codon, which is responsible for specific mRNA codon recognition, and the 3' end, to which the tRNAs corresponding amino acid is attached (by aminoacyl-tRNA synthetases). tRNAs cope with the degeneracy of the genetic code in two manners: having more than one tRNA (with a specific anti-codon) for a particular amino acid; and 'wobble' base-pairing, i.e. permitting non-standard base-pairing at the 3rd anti-codon position. The record is from RNAcentral. Lineage: Bacteria; Pseudomonadati; Pseudomonadota; Alphaproteobacteria; Hyphomonadales; Hyphomonadaceae.